RNAcentral lists this ribosomal RNA (257 nucleotides) under uncultured bacterium. RNAcentral describes it as "partial 16S ribosomal RNA". It matches the Rfam family "Bacterial small subunit ribosomal RNA", at positions 524 to 776 of the family's 1533-position model. The record is from RNAcentral.
UACAGAGGGUGCGAGCGUUGUUCGGAAUUACUGGGCGUAAAGCGCGCGCAGGCGGAUCCUGCAAGUCUGGAGUGAAAUCUCACCGCUCAACGGUGAGGCUGCUUUGGAUACUGCGGAUCUGGAGACCGGUAGAGGCUGGUAGAAUUGCAGGUGUAGCGGUGGAAUGCGUAGAGAUCUGCAAGAAUACCCCGUGGCGAAGGCGGCCAGCUGGGCCCGGUUCUGACGCUGAGGCGCGAAAAGCGUGGGGAGCAAACAGG